RNAcentral lists this non-coding RNA (364 nucleotides) under Phytophthora infestans T30-4. RNAcentral's name for it is "Eukaryotic small subunit ribosomal RNA". It matches the Rfam family "Eukaryotic small subunit ribosomal RNA". Lineage: Eukaryota; Oomycota; Peronosporomycetes; Peronosporales; Peronosporaceae. The record is from Rfam by way of RNAcentral.
UAUACGUCGUGGUGAUCUCCCGAGACACACGACUGCCCUUCACUGUCAUCUCUUCAUCGUCCCACGACUCGGUAGAUGUGUUCUCACUUGCCUUUUGAAUUAGUUCCAGCUCAGCUGCAAGCACUGACGGAGUGAUGUGGUCCUCAAAGUACUUGGCAGCCCAGCUUCUCGUGGCUCGCGAGCAAUCAUCAUUCCACCAAGACCGCACCAUUGCAGGGAGACGAUGACUCGGUGAAAAAUUGGGACCGUGAGUCUGUUUGCUUUAUUGCGAGUGGAUUGAUGGGAACUUUUUUAAACCUCGCCAUUUAGAGGAAGGUGAAGUCGUAACAAGGUUUCCGUAGGUGAACCUGCGGAAGGAUCAUUA